This 426-nucleotide ribosomal RNA is filed under the name uncultured bacterium. Its description in RNAcentral is "bacterial SSU rRNA". It matches the Rfam family "Bacterial small subunit ribosomal RNA", at positions 355 to 775 of the family's 1533-position model. The record is from RNAcentral.
UCGAGAAUUUUUCUCAAUGGGGGAAACCCUGAAGGAGCGACGCCGCGUGGAGGAUGAAGGUCUUCGGAUUGUAAACUCCUGUCAUUAGGGAACAAAUCUUCCAAGUAACUACUGGAAGUCUGAUAGUACCUGAAGAGGAAGAGACGGCUAACUCUGUGCCAGCAGCCGCGGUAAUACAGAGGUCUCAACCGUUGUUCGGAUUCAUUGGGCGUAAAGGGUGCGUAGGCGGCGGGGUAAGUCAGGUGUGAAAUCUCGGGGCUCAACCCCGAAACUGCACUUGAUACUGCCUCGCUUGAGUACUGGAGAGGAGACUGGAAUUUACGGUGUAGCAGUGAAAUGCGUAGAUAUCGUAAGGAAGACCAGUGGCGAAGGCGAGUCUCUGGACAGUUACUGACGCUGAGGCACGAAGGCCAGGGGAGCAAACGG